UUUGCCCUACGGGGCGCAGCAGUGGGGGAUAUUGGACAAUGGGGGAAACCCUGAUCCAGCGAUGCCGCGUGAGGGAAGAAGGUUUUCGGAUUGUAAACCUCUGUGGAGGGGGACGAUAAUGACGGUACCCCUUUAGGAAGCCACGGCUAACUACGUGCCAGCAGCCGCGGUAAUACGUAGGUGGCGAGCGUUAUCCGGAUUUAUUGGGUGUAAAGGGCGUGUAGGCGGGAAUGCAAGUCAGAUGUGAAAACUAUGGGCUCAACCCAUAGCCUGCAUUUGAAACUGUAUUUCUUGAGUGCUGGAGA
This 305-nucleotide ribosomal RNA is filed under the name uncultured bacterium. RNAcentral's name for it is "bacterial SSU rRNA". It matches the Rfam family "Bacterial small subunit ribosomal RNA", at positions 333 to 655 of the family's 1533-position model. The record is from RNAcentral.